GGCAUGCAAGGCUGGGAUAAAUGAAAGUGAUUACAUUAUCUGGUGUCUAAGGGGUCACAAAUCUGUCCUAAGCACUGAUCUUUCUGGUGACCUGUUUCAGGAUUUCAUUUGUUCAACCUCUUCUGCUUCCUUUUUAUUGCACUUGGUAUCUCUGCAGAGCAAGUCUUCACCUGCUGUACACCUACUCCACCUAAUUAUUCCUCCUCUCCUUUCACCGGGUCUUGGCUUAAAACCUAUUUCCCACCACGAAACAGUCUGGACUGAGUGGUCUCUUAUGGCAUGGAUCAACUUGUGCCUCGAGACAUGUCCCCAUCCAUCACUGGGACCUGCUCAGCCUCCAGCCCAGCUGCACAGAAACCCUGCCAUACCUCUGAGUGCAGGGACACCGAAGCUUAAGAAUGUGCAUUAGGAAACUGAAGAGAAUUACUUCUGAAGAAUCUAAGCC
Taeniopygia guttata (zebra finch) is the source of this 445-nucleotide long non-coding RNA. NCBI's taxonomy places the organism in Eukaryota, Metazoa, Chordata, Aves, Passeriformes, Estrildidae. The record is from Ensembl.